Molecule: ribosomal RNA, 398 nt
Filed under: uncultured bacterium
Lineage: Bacteria
Description: bacterial SSU rRNA
Rfam family: Bacterial small subunit ribosomal RNA
Source: RNAcentral
AUUGAACGCUGGCGGCAUGCUUUACACAUGCAAGUCGAGCGGCAGCGCGGGGGGCAACCCUGGCGGCGAGCGGCGAACGGGUGAGUAAUGCAUCGGAACGUAUCCUGUAGUGGGGAAUAACUCACCGAAAGGUGAGCUAAUACCGCAUAAGCUCUGAGGAGGAAAGCGGGGGGACCGAAAGGCCUCGCGCUGCAGGAGCGGCCGAUGUCCGAUUAGCUAGUUGGUGAGGUAAAGGCUCACCAAGGCGACGAUCGGUAGCUGGUCUGAGAGGAUGAUCAGCCACACUGGGACUGAGACACGGCCCAGACUCCUACGGGAGGCAGCAGUGGGGAAUUUUGGACAAUGGGGGGAAACCCUGAUCCAGCCAUGCCGCGUGAGUGAAGAAGGCCUCGGGUUGU